ACUAACGCGCUCACAUGCGCAAAUUUGUGACAUGCACACUCUCAGAACUCGGAUCGACACUUUUUCAGUAGUGCCAAAUUUUGAAACUGAGUUUGCACCCCCUAAGCAAAUUUUGUUCCCGGGCCACUGGUCAGAAGGCCACA
Long non-coding RNA from Octopus sinensis (East Asian common octopus), 143 nucleotides. RefSeq lists it as uncharacterized. The transcript has 3 exons. NCBI's taxonomy places the organism in Eukaryota, Metazoa, Mollusca, Cephalopoda, Octopoda, Octopodidae. The record is from RefSeq and is a predicted model, not a curated record.